GACGAACGCUGGCGGCGUGCCUAAUACAUGCAAGUCGAGCGGACUUAAAAGGAGCUUGCUCCUUUUAAGUUAGCGGCGGACGGGUGAGUAACACGUGGGCAACCUGCCCUAUAGUUUGGGAUAACUCCGGGAAACCGGGGCUAAUACCGGAUGAUACAUUUUAACUCCUGUUAAAAUGUUGAAAGAUGGUUUACGCUAUCGCUAUAGGAUGGGCCCGCGGCGCAUUAGCUAGUAGGUGAGGUAACGGCUCACCUAGGCGACGAUGCGUAGCCGACCUGAGAGGGUGAUCGGCCACACUGGGACUGAGACACGGCCCAGACUCCUACGGGUGGCUG
This 335-nucleotide ribosomal RNA is filed under the name uncultured Bacillota bacterium. RNAcentral's name for it is "bacterial SSU rRNA". It matches the Rfam family "Bacterial small subunit ribosomal RNA", at positions 28 to 351 of the family's 1533-position model. The record is from RNAcentral. Lineage: Bacteria; Bacillati; Bacillota.